UACGGGGGGGGCAAGCGUUGUUCGGAAUUACUGGGCGUAAAGGGCUCGUAGGCGGCCAACUAAGUCAGACGUGAAAUCCCUCGGCUUAACCGGGGAACUGCGUCUGAUACUGGUUGGCUUGAAUCCGGGAGAGGGAUGUGGAAUUCCAGGUGUAGCGGUGAAAUGCGUAGAUAUCUGGAGGAAUACCGGUGGCGAAGGCGGCAUCCUGGACCGACAUUGACGCUGAGGAGCGAAAGCUAGGGGAGCAAACGGG
RNAcentral lists this ribosomal RNA (253 nucleotides) under uncultured bacterium. RNAcentral describes it as "partial 16S ribosomal RNA". It matches the Rfam family "Bacterial small subunit ribosomal RNA", at positions 524 to 776 of the family's 1533-position model. The record is from RNAcentral.